Molecule: ribosomal RNA, 203 nt
Filed under: uncultured bacterium
Lineage: Bacteria
Description: partial 16S ribosomal RNA
Source: RNAcentral
CCGCUAGAAAUUCCGGAUAACCAUUCGUAGGGGAAUAUUUUCGCGAGCCUUGAACCCACCGCCUGUCCCACCAUGGGAGGUGGUCUGCCGGAAGUCGUUACUCCAGCGUGCGAAGGAGGAGGAUGAAGAAGGCAUGCCCGAUUUAAGGAGACGUCGUAACAUGGUGAAUAUAAAUGCGCGCGACCGCACAGAGCGCGCGCCAC